Molecule: long non-coding RNA, 204 nt
Filed under: Elaeis guineensis (African oil palm)
Lineage: Eukaryota; Viridiplantae; Streptophyta; Magnoliopsida; Arecales; Arecaceae
Description: long non-coding RNA (EGUI_LNC048073)
Source: RNAcentral
GGUCAGGUUGGCUGAGCCACACUCAGACCUAGACAUUUGUUUGUUGGAUGUACUUGGUGUAGUCAUAUUAAUAGUUGGACCUAACUAGGAUUUUCAGUAAAGGUGCCACACACCUGUUGAAGAGAUGUCUAGGAUAAAAUCUAAUUACUAAAAAUUAUUUAGUGAAAUAAUUGGUUAAGAACCUUCCCAUAGAUGCACUAGGGU